RNAcentral lists this ribosomal RNA (468 nucleotides) under uncultured bacterium. Its description in RNAcentral is "partial 16S ribosomal RNA". It matches the Rfam family "Bacterial small subunit ribosomal RNA", at positions 28 to 507 of the family's 1533-position model. The record is from RNAcentral.
GACGAACGCUGGCGGCGUGCUUAACACAUGCAAGUCGAACGGAAAGGCCCUGCUUUUGUGGGGUGCGCGAGUGGCGAACGCGUGAGUAUCACGUGAGUAACCUGUCCUUGACUUUGGGAUAACUUCAGGAAACUGGGGUUAAUACCGGACAUGAGCUCCUGCUGCACGGUGGGGGUUGGUAAGUUGCGGCGUUUGGGGAUGGACGCGAGGUCUAUCCGCUUGUUGGCGGGGUAGUGGCGUACCAAGGCAUUGACGGGUAGCCGCCCUGAGAGGGUGACCGGGCACAUUGGGCCUGAGGUGCGGGCCAGAGGGCUACGGGAGGCAGCGGUGGAAGUUAUUGCGCAAUGGGCGGAAGCCUGAUGCAGCAACGCCGCGUGCGGGAUGACGGCCUGCGGGUAGUAAACCGCUUUCGCCUGUGACGAAGCGUGAGUGACGGUAAUGGGUAAAGAAGCAACGGCUAACUACGUG